CAUGACCCAGAAAUCAUGUGCCUUGUCAGUGGCAGUGAGUUUCUGAAUUCUUACCCAUUCCUCCACGGCCAAGCGACAGCCAAUCAGAUAUCUCUACAGAUGGAUAUUCCCGUGGUAGUUAUAAAUCAUUUAAAAACAAACUUGAAAGAAACGUUAAAGAAAACAGGGAGGUUGUUGUUGAAGAGAGAAGUCAAUCAGAUCAAGAAAAGCAUAAUGAAGAAACUUUAGAGCGUUUAGGAAAUGGUGAGACGCGUAAGAGGAAUGGAAACGAAAGUAGAAAAAACGUCGGUUCAUUUAAUAAAGAGACGAGCAGCUCAUCGUGGACUCAUAACGACAGCGGUUUUAGAAAGAAACAUCAUGUGCCAAUAAAUGGUGUUCAAGUCCUACCACCGGAACAAGUUUUUAUUCAGUUUGAAAGUAGCGAUGAGGAGAAAGAAAAUUGAAGUUGAAUGUUUUAUUAACAAGCUAUUUUAGACUUAUAAAUAGUUCACUUUAUAUGGUGAAUUUACUAUCUAUGUAAUAACUUUCUAUUUAUUUUUCAUACAUUUGAAGGACAUUUAAA
Molecule: long non-coding RNA, 562 nt
Organism: Xenia sp. Carnegie-2017
Lineage: Eukaryota; Metazoa; Cnidaria; Anthozoa; Malacalcyonacea; Xeniidae
Exons: 2
Source: RefSeq, a predicted model, not a curated record